Molecule: long non-coding RNA, 2269 nt
Organism: Hirundo rustica (Barn swallow)
Lineage: Eukaryota; Metazoa; Chordata; Aves; Passeriformes; Hirundinidae
Exons: 4
Source: RefSeq, a predicted model, not a curated record
AUGAGUGUUCUGGGGUCAAAGUGAGGCGAUCGGUAGCGGAGGUGGAAGGAGUCCCAGACGAGAUACAAGGGAUUGUAAAAGCCACGUGUGGAAUCGGAGCCCUUCCAGCAGCUUUCCUUCCCACUGCUCUCCAGGUGUUUUCCUUUGUUUUCUGGCUUUCUGGAAUGAACGCAGCUUUGGAGAGUUCGGAGUUUCCCUUACCUGUGCAGAGAUGUCAGGAUCUGGAGGCGCUCCCGUUUCCCUGGAGGAGGAUGCCCUGGAGAACGUCCUUAGCUGGGAUUUGGCUCCUGUGGAGCCUCCCAGGAUGAGCCGUGCUGGGCUCGGAUCCUGUGCUGGUCCUUGCACCACCCUCACUCCACGGACUGCGGGAGCUGCCGGGGUCUCUUUCUGUACCUGCCCAGCGGGGUCAGACCCGAUGGGCCCUCCAAGUGCAGGAUUUCUCUCUGAUCUCCCUCCAAGUGGAUUUACCUCUUGCUCUCGUUGAAAUCAAAGUCCUGUUUCAAAAGUAGAAUUGAUUUCUCAAGAAAAAUGUGCCACAAAAGCCAUUUUUUGUCCUUUGUUUCUCAAAUUUCUGCUCCUGGUUAUUUCUCUUGCAGCAAUAAUGAAUGUCACAGGAAUACAAAUGGGAAAGGGGAAUAAAUGGAAUGUGACUGCAAAUGCUGACUUUUGUAAAUUGGGCAGGAAGCAGUCAGUGUUCAAAAUGUUCGGGCCGCAGCAAUAGGAGCGGAGCCAGAGGAAAAGCCAGAAACUGCUGAGUUCAGUCCAGGGACACCUUCCACUCUUGCAGGCUGCUCCAAGGCCCAUGCAGCCUGGCCUUGGGCCCUUCCAGGGAUGGAGCAGGCACGAUUUCUCUGGGUUUAUGGGCACAGGAGGAAAUUCCCAGCAGGAACGAGACUUUUCCUUUGCUCUGCCCAGCCCCAGCAGGGCUUUGGGAGGCAGAGGACAUGGGAACAGGAGCUUUGGCCACUGCCUCGGGGGAGUCUCUGAUGUCCCAAAGGCCAGCAGAACAAACGUUUGUGGUUUGACAUCCCGUUCAAAGGAGAUGCCAGGCCAGGGACAGGAAGGAACCGCGGAGCAGGGCUGGCUCCAGGCAGAGGGGAUGAGGAAGCCAACCCUGCCGAGGAGGAAGAUGAGGAGGUGUGGGAGGAUGGAGACAGCGGCCACCGAAGGCUGGGGGAGGCACAGCUCCAGGUAGGAGAUGUUGCCUUCCAAGGAGAGGGACUCGUCUGUCCCACUGGAAUUUGGGGCGCGAGGCCAGUGGAACAAAGCGUUUGGUUCCGUUUUCUUGCUCGGGUUCUGAUGUGCCUUAAGAGAGAUUUGUGGAAAGGUCAUUUUAGUGAGUUUGCACUGGCUUUGAAGGAAUGUGACCUCUGGGGCAGAAAUCCCUGCACAGCUUCUGAGUGCCCCCAUGGCUCAUCUGAACAGUUUGUGGGCUGGGCCUCCUUGUUUCCUCCUUUUCCAGGCCCCAGAUGGAGUCCUUCUUUUCCCAAGGGAGGGAAAAGCCAGCAGGAUGUGAACCAGAGGUGGUGCUUUAGGAAAAGCCCUCCAGCCUGGGAAGGUGCUUUUGGCUCCAGACACAUUCCCCAUGAGCAGCAGGACCUGUGCUGUCCCCAGCAGAAUCCUCUGAGGCUGAAACAAAGACAAGGAGCCUUUUGAGAUGGAAAGAGGCAGAGCCAGUUGUCCUGGGAAAGGAAAAUGAAAGAUGGGAGCCAUUUAAGCGAGAGGCGCCGAAAAGAAUUGGAGUUUCUGAUUUUAAGUCUCUGACUUAAAUUCCCCUUUGGAUUGUCACCGCUCCGAUUUUCACGGGCUGGUCACCUUGGCCGGGAGUGUCCAAUCCUGCUGAAAAUGCAUUGGACCGGGAUGUCAUUUCCAUCUUAUCCUGGUAAAGACUGGGUGACCCCCAGUCACUGGAAGGACUGGGCUGGGCUCCCAGGGCACUAAUUCCAGGUGUUCUGUUUUUAGGAGUAGCACGGGAGCCUUGCCCUUGCCCAGAGGAGCAGCCAGUGCCUCCCUUAGUCCACAAAUCCCCAGGAUGGAAGACAAAGGAGAUAACAGGAAUGUGGAAGUCCCCUACACUGGGAGUUCACGGUGCUUUGGAUUACAUUUUGGAUUUAUAAUGUUAAAAGGGGGAGUGUGGAGGGGUCUUUCUCUCUCUCCUGUUCAUUAUUGUACUCGCUGCUCUUGUUGCUCUCACCGUUCCUCUGUGUUGUCAUUAACAUUAAAUGAUUGUAUUUGAAUUGGUUUCCAUUAUUAAACUGUUCUGAUCUCA